CGACGAUCAGUAGCCGGCUUGAGAGAGCGGACGGCCACAUUGGGACUGAGACACGGCCCAAACUCCUACGGGAGGCAGCAGUGGGGAAUAUUGCACAAUGGGGGAAACCCUGAUGCAGCGACGCCGCGUGAGUGAAGAAGUAUUUCGGUAUGUAAAGCUCUAUCAGCAGGGAAGAAAAAAGACGGUACCUGACUAAGAAGCCCCGGCUAACUACGUGCCAGCAGCCGCGGUAAUACGUAGGGGGCAAGCGUUAUCCGGAAUUACUGGGUGUAAAGGGUGCGUAGGUGGCAUGGUAAGUCAGAAGUGAAAGCCCGGGGCUUAACCCCGGGACUGCUUUUGAAACUGUCAUGCUGGAGUGCAGGAGAGGUAAGCGGAAUUCCUAGUGUAGCGGUGAAAUGCGUAGAUAUUAGGAGGAACACCAGUGGCGAAGGCGGCUUACUGGACUGUCACUGACACUGAUGCACGAAAGCGUGGGGAGCAAACAGGAUUAGAUACCCUGGUAGUCCACGCCGU
Molecule: ribosomal RNA, 513 nt
Filed under: uncultured bacterium
Lineage: Bacteria
Description: bacterial SSU rRNA
Rfam family: Bacterial small subunit ribosomal RNA
Source: RNAcentral